AAACUCAAAGGAAUUUGACGGGGGCCCGCACAAGCAGUGGAGUAUGUGGUUUAAUUCGAAGCAACGCGAAGAACCUUACCAAGGCUUGACAUAAUAGUGAAUAUGGCAGAGAUGUCAUAGUCCUUCGGACACUAUUACAGGUGGUGCAUGGUUGUCGUCAGCUCGUGUCGUGAGAUGUUGGGUUAAGUCCCGCAACGAGCGCAACCCCUGUUGUUAGUUGAUAACAUUAAGAUGAUCACUCUAACGAGACUGCCGGUGAUAAAUCGGAGGAAGGUGGGGACGACGUCAAAUCAUCAU
This 297-nucleotide ribosomal RNA is filed under the name uncultured Oscillospiraceae bacterium. Its description in RNAcentral is "partial 16S ribosomal RNA". It matches the Rfam family "Bacterial small subunit ribosomal RNA", at positions 897 to 1196 of the family's 1533-position model. Lineage: Bacteria; Bacillati; Bacillota; Clostridia; Eubacteriales; Oscillospiraceae. The record is from RNAcentral.